RNAcentral lists this transfer RNA (75 nucleotides) under Devosia sp. RNAcentral describes it as "tRNA-Lys". It matches the Rfam family "tRNA". Rfam says of the family: Transfer RNA (tRNA) molecules are approximately 80 nucleotides in length. Their secondary structure includes four short double-helical elements and three loops (D, anti-codon, and T loops). Lineage: Bacteria; Pseudomonadati; Pseudomonadota; Alphaproteobacteria; Hyphomicrobiales; Devosiaceae. The record is from RNAcentral. RNAcentral also lists the same sequence under 3 other names.
GCGCCCGUAGCUCAGUGGUAGAGCAUCCGACUUUUAAUCGGACGGUCGAAAGUUCGAAUCUUUCCGGGCGUACCA